Molecule: ribosomal RNA, 429 nt
Filed under: Actinomycetes bacterium
Lineage: Bacteria; Bacillati; Actinomycetota; Actinomycetes
Description: Actinobacteria bacterium partial 16S ribosomal RNA
Rfam family: Bacterial small subunit ribosomal RNA
Source: RNAcentral
UAGGGAAUCUUCCGCAAUGGGCGAAAGCCUGCCGGAGCAACGCCGCGUGAGUGAUGAAGGUCUUCGGAUCGUAAAACUCUGUUAUUAGGGAAGAACAAAUGUGUAAGUCACUAUGCACGUCUUGACGGUACCUAAUCAGAAAGCCACGGCUAACUACGUGCCAGCAGCCGCGGUAAUACGUAGGUUGCAAGCGUUAUCCGGAAUUAAUGGGCGUAAAGCGCGCGUAGGCGGUUUUUUAAGACUGUUGUGAAAGCCCACGGAUCAACCGAGGAGGGUCAUUUGAAACUGUAAAACUUGAGUGCAGAAUAGGAAAGUGAAAUACCAUGUGUAUCGUUGAAAUGCGAAAAGAUAUGGAGAAACACCAGUGGCGAAUACGACUUUCUGAUCUGUAAAUGACACUGAUAUGCGAAAGCGUGGGGAUCAAACAGG